CCUACGGGCGGCAGCAGUGGGGAAUAUUGGACAAUGGGGGCAACCCUGAUCCAGCCAUGCCGCGUGUGUGAAGAAGGCCCUCGGGUUGUAAAGCACUUUCAGUGAGGAAGAACGCCUGGUGGUUAAUACCCAUCAGGAAAGACAUCACUCACAGAAGAAGCACCGGCUAACUCCGUGCCAGCAGCCGCGGUAAUACGGAGGGUGCGAGCGUUUAUCGGAAUUACUGGGCGUAAAGCGCGCGUAGGUGGCUUGAUAAGCCGGUCGUGAAAGCCCCGGGCUCAACCUGGGAACGGCAUCCGGAACUGUCAAGCUAGAGUGCAGGAGAGGAAGGUAGAAUUCCCGGUGUAGCGGUGAAAUGCGUAGAGAUCGGGAGGAAUACCAGUGGCGAAGGCGGCCUUCUGGACUGACACUGACACUGAGGUGCGAAAGCGUGGGUAGCAAACAGGAUUAGAUACCCUGGUAGUC
RNAcentral lists this ribosomal RNA (465 nucleotides) under Vreelandella stevensii. RNAcentral's name for it is "partial 16S ribosomal RNA". It matches the Rfam family "Bacterial small subunit ribosomal RNA", at positions 338 to 795 of the family's 1533-position model. The record is from RNAcentral. Lineage: Bacteria; Pseudomonadati; Pseudomonadota; Gammaproteobacteria; Oceanospirillales; Halomonadaceae.